RNAcentral lists this long non-coding RNA (785 nucleotides) under Astyanax mexicanus (Mexican tetra). Its description in RNAcentral is "lncRNA (ENSAMXG00005017486.1)". The record is from RNAcentral. Lineage: Eukaryota; Metazoa; Chordata; Actinopteri; Characiformes; Acestrorhamphidae.
GUCUCCGGGAGAGUAUCGCCAGAAACCAACCUGGAUAUGAACGUGAGCUCCUCAAAUGAAUCUUCAGACAGUAUCCGAGGACAGCGAAGCUACAGAUAAACAGCGUUUUCUCGUGUUGUCUCUGCUGCGAGUUGAGCUGAGCUCCUCGGACUGUAGUUGAGUUUUUCUACAGUCUGAGACCUGGUUGAUAUAUCUGGGCUUGUUCCUGAUCUGCUGUCCCGGAGGAACUCAGGCUGCUGUAUGGACACUCGGCCGCCGCGCUGCUGCUGGGUUUGACCUCGAUCACUACAGGGAUGUCUGAGGUAGAGGUUGGUGUCCCUCUCUCCCCCACUCCUUCUCUCAUCGAGGUGAGAGCAGAAACAAGUUUGGUGCUGAAGAGUUUCCUUCGGAAAGCUCUUUCAAUUCCCCCUGCAGACCGGCCUGGACGGGUUGGGGGAGCAUAUAAUGACCCCAACAUAUUCAGGGCGUUGGUAAAAGAGAAGAAGAAAAAAGAAGAAAGUGGGUGGGACUCUCUGGAUGAACAGAUCAGUGCAGCGGAGGAGAAGAAACACGGGAUAAAAAACCUGAUAAAGAGGCGAUUAAGGCCACAUCCCCUGAAAAAAGACCACAAUGCUGAUCAGUCACAUCACGGCCAUGCGCAAAAGGGUACUCUGGAGAGGAAGUCGGGGCAGGAGAAAGGGGUUCCGUCCAAGAACGGCAGCGCUACUAUUAAGUCACUCAAUGAGGUGAAAUAGUAAUACGAUUGAUUAUUUUUUGUUUUUGAGAGCACGUUUAUUUUUUCUUUC